GACGAACGCUGGCGGCGUGCUUAACACAUGCAAGUCGAGCGGUAAGGCCCUUUCGGGGUACGACGAGCGGCGAACGGGUGAGUAACACGUGGGUGACCUGCCCUCCAGCUCUGGGAUAAGCCUGGGAAACCGGGUCUAAUACUGGAUAUGACUCCAUGACGCAUGUUGUGGGGUGGAAAGCCUUGUGCGGCUGAGGAUGGGCCCGCGGCCUAUCAGCUUGUUGGUGGGGUGAGGCCUACCAAGGCGACGACGGGUAGCCGGCCUGAGAGGGCGACCGGCCACACUGGGACUGAGACACGGCCCAGACUCCUACGGGAGGCAGCAGUGGGGAAUCUUGCGCAAUGGGCGAAAGCCUGACGCAGCGACGCCGCGUGAGGGAUGACGGCCUCGGUUGUAA
This 397-nucleotide ribosomal RNA is filed under the name uncultured bacterium. RNAcentral's name for it is "bacterial SSU rRNA". It matches the Rfam family "Bacterial small subunit ribosomal RNA", at positions 28 to 428 of the family's 1533-position model. The record is from RNAcentral.